CCUACGGGUGGCAGCAGUGAGGAAUAUUGGUCAAUGGGCGGGAGCCUGAACCAGCCAAGCCGCGUGAGGGAAGAAGGUACAGCGUAUCGUAAACCUCUUUUGUCAGGGAACAAAGGCGGGGACUAGUCCCCGGAUGAGGGUACCUGAAGAAAAAGCAUCGGCUAACUCCGUGCCAGCAGCCGCGGUAAUACGGAGGAUGCGAGCGUUAUCCGGAUUUAUGGGGUUUAAAGGGUGCGUAGGCGGGCUGUUAAGUCAGCGGUAAAAGCCCGGGGCUCAACCCCGGCGAGCCGUUGAAACUGGCUGUCUGGAGAGGUCGAGAGGUAGGCGGAAUGCGUGGUGUAGCGGUGAAAUGCUUAGAUAUUGCGAAGAACUCCGAUUGCGAAGGCAGCAUACCGGCGGCGAUCUGACGCUGAGGCACGAAAGCGUGGGUAUCGAACAGGAUUAGAUACCCCUGUAGUC
RNAcentral lists this ribosomal RNA (459 nucleotides) under uncultured bacterium. RNAcentral describes it as "partial 16S ribosomal RNA". It matches the Rfam family "Bacterial small subunit ribosomal RNA", at positions 338 to 795 of the family's 1533-position model. The record is from RNAcentral.